CGGUGGAAUCUCGGAUGUCGGAAACCUCUAGAAGGGUAAAACCAUGUUUUAUGAAAUGUUUUUAAUGUAUUUUAUGUUUUUAAGCAAAAAGGAAAUUGAGUUUUUGAAUGAAAAGGACCAAAGGAGGCUUUGCCAGGUUCGGCCGCCGAAAGUGAGGUUCGGCCGCCGAACAUGGUGGGGUUUUGGGAGCGCUUUAGGCCUCCGAAAGCCUUGUCUGAAAGACUCAAGGUUCGGCCGCCGAACCUCAUGUUCGGCCGCCGAACAUGCAUGAGAUGUGGGGGCACGUUAGGCCGCCGAAAGGUGACAGAACCUGCCCUAUAAAGGACCCCGUGACCGAAACAGGCGAGGUUUUCUCUCCCAUUUCGGCCGACGGUAAGCUUUAG
This 383-nucleotide long non-coding RNA is filed under the name Manihot esculenta (cassava). RNAcentral describes it as "long non-coding RNA (MESC_LNC007146)". The record is from RNAcentral. Lineage: Eukaryota; Viridiplantae; Streptophyta; Magnoliopsida; Malpighiales; Euphorbiaceae.